Molecule: long non-coding RNA, 630 nt
Filed under: Parus major (Great Tit)
Lineage: Eukaryota; Metazoa; Chordata; Aves; Passeriformes; Paridae
Description: lncRNA (ENSPMJG00000017217.1)
Source: RNAcentral
AUGCCUGGUCUCCAGGGUGCCCAGGGUGCUCAAGGAUAUCCUGGGGAACUUGGACCACAGGGCCCUCCAGGACCUUUAGGCAUGCCAGGGAAACCAGGACCUCCUGGACCUAAGGGUCUUAUGGGACUGAAAGUAAUAGGAGCCAAAGGAAGAAAGGGUGACACUGGGUUAACCGGACCUCCUGGGCCCCCUGGAACUGUAAUUGUGACAUUAAGCGGACCAGACAACAUGACGGACUUGAAAGGAGAAAAAGGAGAAAAAGGAUCAAGAGGACCCCCAGGGCCAAUGGGGUUUACAGGGCUGGUUGGUGAUUCCCAAAGCGAAAAGGGUGACCGGGGAGAACCAGGAGCACAGGUGUGUACAAACAGUUGAAUACAUGUGUGUUAGUCCUUUCUGAAAAACUGCUUUGAACUAGUGUUGCUGUCCAGUUUUUGUCUCACUCUACUCAGAGCAAAUUGGCUUAAAUUCAAAAGCUUUUUCCUGCAGUAAACUAGACAAGAGCUGGAAGUCAAGUGACUGUACUUACAUGAGUACUUGGAGUGAAGGUCAGUUGAUUGUGAGUACACUUCUAUUUUUUUUGCUAUAAAGGUUCUCCUGUUGAAAUGUAAUAAAAAAGUGCUCUGCUAGACA